Molecule: ribosomal RNA, 497 nt
Filed under: uncultured bacterium
Lineage: Bacteria
Description: partial 16S ribosomal RNA
Rfam family: Bacterial small subunit ribosomal RNA
Source: RNAcentral
GAUGAACGCUGGCGGUGUGCCUAAUACAUGCCAGUCGAGCGAACAGACGAGGAGCUUGCUCCUCUGACGUUAGCGGCGGACGGGUGAGUAACACGUGGAUAACCUACCUAUAAGACUGGGAUAACUUCGGGAAACCGGAGCUAAUACCGGAUAAUAUAUUGAACCGCAUGGUUCAAUAGUGAAAGACGGCUUUGCUGUCACUUAUAGAUGGAUCCGCGCCGCAUUAGCUAGUUGGUAAGGUAACGGCUUACCAAGGCAACGAUGCGUAGCCGACCUGAGAGGGUGAUCGGCCACACUGGAACUGAGACACGGUCCAGACUCCUACGGGAGGCAGCAGUAGGGAAUCUUCCGCAAUGGGCGAAAGCCUGACGGAGCAACGCCGCGUGAGUGAUGAAGGUCUUCGGAUCGUAAAACUCUGUUAUUAGGGAAGAACAAAUGUGUAAGUAACUAUGCACGUCUUGACGGUACCUAAUCAGAAAGCCACGGCUAACUACGUG